GGAGGGGCCUCGGGACGUCCCGCCGGAGGAUGGCGGCGGCGGUCACGGUGGACGCCGCGGGCAGCUGCGCUACCUGCAGGUGGGUCUUGACCACCACGGCGGGUUGGCACGAGCUACGGCGAGCUUCACUGCUGCGGCGGCGUUGAUUUCCCAAAGCAAGGGGCAGUGCGGCAGGGGCAUGUUGCAACUUGCAAGAAGCCAGCAUCCGCAUCCCAGAUGCUCGCUAGGGCGUGGGCGCGCUAGUCCACUGGAGCAACGCGCGCUCUGCGACGGCGUGCCAUUCCUCCGCGUGUGUCUUGCGCUAUCUUGCGCGACGGCAAGGCCGAGCACAUGCUUCCUGACAAUGACAAGAGAUAAGUGAACAUAGUAGCAGCCAGCGACCAUCCGGCAACACUCAGCAAUACCCUCCUGUAUUUCUCUCGUACGUUUUAUAGCUCUCUACCCACAAGCCCAACUGAAGUUAUAGAACAUCAAAGCACUAUUGUGCAGAGUAAAUCUUUGAUUCCAUUCUUGAUUUUGUUCAGUUGAUUUAUGGUUGCCAAAUUCA
Panicum virgatum (switchgrass) is the source of this 547-nucleotide long non-coding RNA. RefSeq lists it as uncharacterized. The record is from RefSeq and is a predicted model, not a curated record. The transcript has 2 exons. NCBI's taxonomy places the organism in Eukaryota, Viridiplantae, Streptophyta, Magnoliopsida, Poales, Poaceae.